RNAcentral lists this ribosomal RNA (244 nucleotides) under uncultured bacterium. RNAcentral's name for it is "partial 16S ribosomal RNA". It matches the Rfam family "Bacterial small subunit ribosomal RNA", at positions 109 to 354 of the family's 1533-position model. The record is from RNAcentral.
AGUAACACGUGGAUAAUCUGCCCUGCACAGGGGGACAACAGCUAGAAAUGGCUGCUAAUACCGCAUAAGCCUACAGCCUCGCAUGAGGGAGUAGGAAAAGAAAUUCGGUGCAGGAUGAGUCCGCGUCUGAUUAGCUAGUUGGAGGGGUAAGAGCCCACCAAGGCAACGAUCAGUAGCCGGCCUGAGAGGGCGACCGGCCACAUUGGGACUGAGACACGGCCCAAACUCCUACGGGAGGCAGCAG